This 1304-nucleotide long non-coding RNA is filed under the name Setaria viridis. Its description in RNAcentral is "long non-coding RNA (SVIR_LNC001764)". The record is from RNAcentral. Lineage: Eukaryota; Viridiplantae; Streptophyta; Magnoliopsida; Poales; Poaceae.
CCUCAUUAGGAAAAACAUCAUCAAAUUCCUGCAACAAAUCAUGAAUUAUGUUAGGCAAUGUGGAAUGUGAUUUGUUAGUUGGUGAUGAAGCUUCCUUGUACAUCAGCACAAGGAAUGGGGCUGUGGUGUUCCUUACAUCUCUCAAAUCACUCUUGCUCACAAGUAAACACUCAUUCUUUUGUGGCACUCUUGUCUUUUCAGUUUGGUGGAAAGAAUGAGAUGGCAUUGGAUUUUUUCUCUUACUAUAUUUUUGUGUCUCACUCAGUUUUCUUUCCUCACAUUGCUCUCUCUUCAUUCUAGCAACAUCAAAAGCAUGUAUUUCUUCAGGGAGAUACUGGAAGUAGCACCACCUUCCUGUCCUUAUGCAAAAAUGUGUGCUUGUUGGAGCGUGCAAAAUGCAUUAAGUCCACAUCAAACUGCCAUGGACGACCAAGAAGCAAGUGGCAUGCUUGCAUAGGAACAACAUUGCAAUCUAUCUCAUCAUGAUAAUCCCCAAUAGAGAAAGAAAAUCGAACCAUGGAGGAAACCUUCACUGUACUAGAAUUGUUCAACCAUUGCAUAUGAUAAGGAUGAGGGUGACGACGUGUUGCCAAUUGGAGCUUCUCAACAAGCAAUGCACUCACAAUGUUAUUACAACUCCCACCAUCAAUAAUGAAAUGACACACCUGCCCUUUAAUCUUGCACCGUGAUUGGAAUAAGUUAUGUCAUUGUCCUUGUUCAGCUGCAACAAAUUGUGUAGAAAGAACUCGCCAAACAACAAAUGAACUACCCUUUGCAGCCAUGUUCGAGGGCAAGCAUAUAGGUUCCAAUGGAAUAAGAAACUCCAAAGCAUUUGUUGGAUAAUUUUAUGGCAAUUCCAUACCCACUUCAGCAUAACAAAUAACAUCAUCAAAAGAUUGGUGUCCAUCACAUGUAGCAACAGCAAAAGGUGCAGCCAACAAAGACAUAGACGUCUGACCAAAAGAGGAGCUAACAUUCAUAGAACUGUUAUAUUCAUUAGAGACAUCAUCACUCGAAUCAUAUAGCAAUUCAUCAAAGUCAGUGCUACUGAUUUCCUCGGUGGCGUGUGGAAAAGCCUCACAUGAGGUAUCUUUAUAUUUAGUAGAAAAGAACCGACGAGCCAAGCAAUUCAACGCCAAUUCUAACUCACCAUCUUCAGUAGCAUACUCAUGAGUUUCAACAUUUGCAUCACUUGGGUCAACUUCAUCUUCCUUGUCUUCCUCCUCACUUUGUGAAUCAUAUGAGCCAUCAGCAAGAAUAACAAUGACACGACGAUUAGGACACUCAGCUUGCUUAUGCCCAUG